Molecule: long non-coding RNA, 1328 nt
Filed under: Arabidopsis lyrata
Lineage: Eukaryota; Viridiplantae; Streptophyta; Magnoliopsida; Brassicales; Brassicaceae
Description: long non-coding RNA (ALYR_LNC000108)
Source: RNAcentral
UCGCUCGCUCCUCAAAUCCCUAAUUCGUUUUCUUAUGGAUUCAAUCGUUUCGCUAGGUUUUGUGAUGCUGCAUCGGAGGUCCAAUUGAAUUCCUAGGAAACUGCAUAGGAGCCCCAAUUGGAUUCCUCCGGCGAUCAGUUAAUCGGUGACGGCUACGACGAGACGCGACUGAGUGUCUCAGAGUCCGAUCAGAAGCUAGAACCAGGAGUUUCGAGUUCGGUUCUCAAUCGAAAAUUCUUCUGCAAAACCUGAUAGAGGCGUGGCCAGUGAGUUGUUAAGGUUGCAAGGAGGAUCGCGAUGAUGGCAUCGAUGAGUGCUCUUCUCCAUAAUAUUUUCCCACGGGUAAUUACAUACAUAUUGAGCUUUGCUUGGUCUUUUGAAAUGAGAAAUGUUAAGUCUAUGAUUAUAAGUUGCUGUUGGGAAAAAGCUGGAAUCUUGGACUCCCAUACAUUGAGCUUAGUGUAGAUGAACUAGAAACUGAUGAAUUAAGGAAUCGAUGCAGCUUAAGAUGAUUAAAACAUUCUGUUUUCGGAGCUACUCGUAUUAGAACUUGGUUGCAUUUGGUAGGUAGAUGUGUUUUGGAGCUUUCAGCGUGAUAAUUUGGGUCUCUCUACUCAGACAUUUAUUGAGUUGAUUAGAGUUUACUUUCUGUGGCAUCUUUUUUGGUUGCAUCUUCAUGUACUACCACCUGACCCUUAAUCGCAGAUGCACCUGCUCAAACAAGAAGUCAUUUUCCGUGUACCCCUUCAAGUUCUGUUACAUCAUUAUUUCAAAGGUCAACUUGUAGUAGUCCUCUUGGAAAGUUCCAGCUACUAGAUUCAGAUUCUGAAGAAGAUCAUCCAUCCACUAGCAGAGGUUUGAGCCUAGUCACUAGAACUUAUGUUUCCUCCUCAAAGGGUCAAUUAUCUGUUGAACGUAAAACAAAGAGAAAAGAAUGUGUGGAUUGAUUCAAAUGCCUGCACUGGAUGUUAUUUUCAGGACUUGUUUUAGCCCAAUAAGGAGAGUAGCACAUCUCAGAAACAAAGCGUUCUGCCAAGUCUGAUAGAGGUGUGUCCAGUGAGUUGUUAGGUUGCAGGGAGGAUGGUUUAAGAAGUGAAGAUAUCUUGAAAGAAGGCACGGAUGUCACCUUUACUGAUGUCAAACUCCAUAUAAACUUAUCAACAACAGCAUGCUGCAAGUUUCAUUCGGUACCAGUAAAAGUUUGGUAAGGCCAUGAAGACGCAAGAGAUGAGGAGUAAGUUUGUGUAGAGAAAGUUAAUCGAAGCUAUUGUUACUCUCUAGUACACAUUAGUAAAGAGUUGGAAAUCUGUAAUUUUCCUGAAUGUACC